CCUACGGGAGGCAGCAGUGAGGAAUAUUGGUCAAUGGACGAGAGUCUGAACCAGCCAAGUGGCGUGAAGGAUGACUGCCCUAUGGGUUGUAAACUUCUUUUAUAUGGGAAUAAAACGUUCCACGUGUGGGAUUUUGUAUGUACCAUAUGAAUAAGGAUCGGCUAACUCCGUGCCAGCAGCCGCGGUAAUACGGAGGAUCCGAGCGUUAUCCGGAUUUAUUGGGUUUAAAGGGAGCGUAGGUGGAUUGUUAAGUCAGUUGUGAAAGUUUGCGGCUCAACCGUAAAAUUGCAGUUGAAACUGGCAGUCUUGAGUACAGUAGAGGUGGGCGGAAUUCGUGGUGUAGCGGUGAAAUGCUUAGAUAUCACGAAGAACUCCGAUUGCGAAGGCAGUUCACUGGACUGCAACUGACACUGAGGCUCGAAAGUGUGGGUAUCAAACAGGAUUAGAUACCCCUGUAGUC
Molecule: ribosomal RNA, 460 nt
Filed under: uncultured bacterium
Lineage: Bacteria
Description: partial 16S ribosomal RNA
Rfam family: Bacterial small subunit ribosomal RNA
Source: RNAcentral